RNAcentral lists this transfer RNA (70 nucleotides) under Drosophila hydei. RNAcentral describes it as "tRNA-Lys". The record is from RNAcentral. Lineage: Eukaryota; Metazoa; Arthropoda; Insecta; Diptera; Drosophilidae.
CACAAGAUGACUGAAAGUAAGUACUGGUCUCUUAAACCAUUUCAUAGUAAAUUAACGAUUACUUUUUGUG